CACCCAGUUUUUCUGAUGCACACCCAGAGUCUCUUUUCUGGCUACGCUCCUGCUUGACACUACCAAAAGCAUUGAGAUUUUUAAACAUGUUUACAAUAUUGUUAUUGGCCACUCUGGGGUCUGGUCAGGAUGUUUCUCCUACUAAGUAUGGGAGUUUGAUCUUGUUUCACAUCAGGAUGAAGUCUUUUUUCAUGGGUUAAAGUCUUUUUUACAGCCUGUUUUAUUUUGAUUGGCGGAUCUGUCUGUGUAUGGCUGCCUCUUUGAUCUGGGUCAGCGACUGUGCUCAGAGGUUGCUGCCAAUGAAAGUGAGGAAUCCCUCCAAUGAUUAGUGAAACACCACCGGUCAUGCCAUUUCAACAUGGAAAAAUACAGGGAGGUGUUUAAAUACUGCUUGCUCUUGCCCACUUUGGCUGAAUUUGCUAGAUAACAUGGACCAGUGGGUUUCAG
Molecule: long non-coding RNA, 447 nt
Organism: Onychostoma macrolepis
Lineage: Eukaryota; Metazoa; Chordata; Actinopteri; Cypriniformes; Cyprinidae
Exons: 3
Source: RefSeq, a predicted model, not a curated record